RNAcentral lists this ribosomal RNA (390 nucleotides) under uncultured Hyphomicrobiales bacterium. Its description in RNAcentral is "bacterial SSU rRNA". It matches the Rfam family "Bacterial small subunit ribosomal RNA", at positions 29 to 448 of the family's 1533-position model. Lineage: Bacteria; Pseudomonadati; Pseudomonadota; Alphaproteobacteria; Hyphomicrobiales. The record is from RNAcentral.
AACGAACGCUGGCGGCAGGCUUAACACAUGCAAGUCGAGCGCCCCGCAAGGGGAGCGGCAGACGGGUGAGUAACGCGUGGGAAUCUACCCAUCUCUACGGAAUAACGCAUGGAAACGUGUGCUAAUACCGUAUACGUCCUUCGGGAGAAAGAUUUAUCGGAGAUGGAUGAGCCCGCGUUGGAUUAGCUAGUUGGUGGGGUAAAGGCCUACCAAGGCGACGAUCCAUAGCUGGUCUGAGAGGAUGAUCAGCCACACUGGGACUGAGACACGGUCCAGACUCCUACGGGAGGCAGCAGUGGGGAAUCUUCCGCAAUGGACGAAAGUCUGACGGGGCGACGCCGCGUGAGUGAAGAAGGCCUUCGGGUUGUAAAGCUCUGUUAUUCGGGAAGA